This 505-nucleotide ribosomal RNA is filed under the name uncultured bacterium. Its description in RNAcentral is "partial 16S ribosomal RNA". It matches the Rfam family "Bacterial small subunit ribosomal RNA", at positions 28 to 507 of the family's 1533-position model. The record is from RNAcentral.
GACGAACGCUGGCGGCGUGCCUAAUACAUGCAAGUAGAACGCACAGUUUAUACCGUAGCUUGCUACACCAUAGACUGUGAGUUGCGAACGGGUGAGUAACGCGUAGGUAACCUGCCUGGUAGCGGGGGAUAACUAUUGGAAACGAUAGCUAAUACCGCAUAAUAUUAAUUAUUGCAUGAUAAUUAAUUGAAAGGUGCAAUUGCACCACUACCAGAUGGACCUGCGUUGUAUUAGCUAGUAGGUGAGGUAACGGCUCACCUAGGCGACGAUACAUAGCCGACCUGAGAGGGUGAUCGGCCACACUGGGACUGAGACACGGCCCAGACUCCUACGGGAGGCAGCAGUAGGGAAUCUUCGGCAAUGGACGAAAGUCUGACCGAGCAACGCCGCGUGAGUGAAGAAGGUUUUCGGAUCGUAAAGCUCUGUUGUAAGAGAAGAACGGGUGUGAGAGUGGAAAGUUCACACUGUGACGGUAUCUUACCAGAAAGAGGCGGCUAACUACGUG